CUAUACAUGACUCUGCGCAUAUCAAUAAGCGGAGGAAAAGAAACUAACAAGGAUUCCCCUAGUAACGGCGAGUGAAGCGGGAAGAGCUCAAAUUUGAAAUCUUAAAGGGUUUCCCUUUACGAAUUGUAGUUUAAAGAAGUGUUUUCUGUUGGAGUUUUGGUAAAAGUUCUUUGGAAUAGGACAUCAUAGAGGGUGAGAAUCCCGUAUUUGACCAUUAUUUCCUAGCGUUGUGAUACACUUUCAAAGAGUCGGAUUGUUUGGGAAUGCAGUCCAAAAUGGGUGGUAAAUUUCAUCUAAAGCUAAAUACUGGCGAGAGACCGAUAGCGAACAAGUACCGUGAGGGAAAGAUGAAAAGAACUUUGAAAAGAGAGUUAAACAGUACGUGAAAUUGUCAAAAGGGAAGCGUUUGACACCAGUGUUGUUUUUCCGAAAAUCAAUUACUGAAUGGUUUGAUUUUGAGAGUUCAUGACCUUCAAUCGCUUGCUUCUUUCUUUACUGUACUUUCGUAAUGCACUUUUCGGUUAACAAGUCAACAUCAAUUUCUUUGUUGUAAAAGGGUACGAGGAAGGUGGCUUUACUUUCGGAGUAAGUGUUUAUAGCCUUGUAGCCUCUGCAAUCGGAGAGAUUGAGGUCUGCAGCGUAGAUCCUUCGGGGUUAGAUACAGUUUGUGCUAAGUUAUAGCUUUUCAUAGACAACUUGUUGACUAUGUUUAGUCUUGUAGCUUACUCGCUUAUGCUAUUUUACCUACGCUUAGGAUGUUGAUAUGCAUGACUGAUAU
Molecule: ribosomal RNA, 778 nt
Filed under: uncultured Neocallimastigales
Lineage: Eukaryota; Fungi; Neocallimastigomycota; Neocallimastigomycetes; Neocallimastigales
Description: partial large subunit ribosomal RNA
Rfam family: Eukaryotic large subunit ribosomal RNA
Source: RNAcentral